Molecule: transfer RNA, 72 nt
Filed under: Camelus bactrianus (Bactrian camel)
Lineage: Eukaryota; Metazoa; Chordata; Mammalia; Artiodactyla; Camelidae
Also listed under: 2 other names
Rfam family: tRNA
About the family: Transfer RNA (tRNA) molecules are approximately 80 nucleotides in length. Their secondary structure includes four short double-helical elements and three loops (D, anti-codon, and T loops).
Source: Rfam by way of RNAcentral
GAUGGUAUAGUUCAGAGGCAGAGCACAUGCUUAGCAUGCACAAGAUCCUGGGUUCAAUCUCCUGUACCUCCA